Molecule: ribosomal RNA, 300 nt
Filed under: uncultured Lactobacillus sp.
Lineage: Bacteria; Bacillati; Bacillota; Bacilli; Lactobacillales; Lactobacillaceae
Description: partial 16S ribosomal RNA
Rfam family: Bacterial small subunit ribosomal RNA
Source: RNAcentral
GGCCAUAUCAGGCCGGCGGUGGCGGUGACAGGUAGGUACCAAGCGUUGUCCGGGUUUAUUGCGCGUAAAGAGCUGGUAGGCGGUUUGUCGCGUCUGCAGGGAAAAUCCGGGGCGCAACCCCGGACUUGCUGUGGGUACGGGCAGACUAGAGUAUGGUAGGGGAGACCGGAAUGCCUGGUGUAGCGGUGGAAUGCGCAGAUAUCAGGAGGAACACCGAUGGCGAAGGCAGGUCUCUGGGCCAUAACUGACGCUGAGAAGCGAAAGCAUGGGGAGCGAACAGGAUUAGAUACCCUUGUAGUC